RNAcentral lists this ribosomal RNA (838 nucleotides) under uncultured bacterium. RNAcentral's name for it is "bacterial SSU rRNA". It matches the Rfam family "Bacterial small subunit ribosomal RNA", at positions 60 to 865 of the family's 1533-position model. The record is from RNAcentral.
AGUCGAGCGAGCGGAACUAAAGAUUUACUUCGGUAAUGACGUUAGGAAAGCGAGCGGCGGAUGGGUGAGUAACACGUGGGGAACCUGCCCCAUAGUCUGGGAUACCACUUGGAAACAGGUGCUAAUACCGGAUAAGAAAGCAGAUCGCAUGAUCAGCUUUUAAAAGGCGGCGUAAGCUGUCGCUAUGGGAUGGCCCCGCGGUGCAUUAGCUAGUUGGUAAGGUAAAGGCUUACCAAGGCGAUGAUGCAUAGCCGAGUUGAGAGACUGAUCGGCCACAUUGGGACUGAGACACGGCCCAAACUCCUACGGGAGGCAGCAGUAGGGAAUCUUCCACAAUGGACGCAAGUCUGAUGGAGCAACGCCGCGUGAGUGAAGAAGGUUUUCGGAUCGUAAAGCUCUGUUGUUGGUGAAGAAGGAUAGAGGCAGUAACUGGCCUUUAUUUGACGGUAAUCAACCAGAAAGUCACGGCUAACUACGUGCCAGCAGCCGCGGUAAUACGUAGGUGGCAAGCGUUGUCCGGAUUUAUUGGGCGUAAAGCGAGCGCAGGCGGAAGAAUAAGUCUGAUGUGAAAGCCCUCGGCUUAACCGAGGAACUGCAUCGGAAACUGUUUUUCUUGAGUGCAGAAGAGGAGAGUGGAACUCCAUGUGUAGCGGUGGAAUGCGUAGAUAUAUGGGAGAACACCAGUGGCGAAGGCGGCUCUCUGGUCUGCAACUGACGCUGAGGCUCGAAAGCAUGGGUAGUGAACAGGAUUAGAUACCCUGGUAGUCCAUGCCGUANACGAUGAGUGCUAAGUGUUGGGAGGUUUCCGCCUCUCAGUGCUGCAGCUAACGCAUUAAGC